This 371-nucleotide ribosomal RNA is filed under the name uncultured bacterium. RNAcentral describes it as "bacterial SSU rRNA". It matches the Rfam family "Bacterial small subunit ribosomal RNA", at positions 527 to 896 of the family's 1533-position model. The record is from RNAcentral.
GGAGGGUGCAAGCGCUGUUCGGAAUCAUUGGGCGUAAAGCGCGUGUAGGCGGCUAGGCAAGUCGGUUGUGAAAGCCCGGGGCCCAACCCCGGAACUGCAUCUGAAACUGCCUGGCUAGAGUCCCGGAGAGGAAGGCAGAAUUCCCGGUGUAGGGGUGAAAUCCGUAGAUAUCGGGAGGAAUACCAGCGGCGAAGGCGGCCUUCUGGACGGUGACUGACGCUGAGACGCGAAAGCGUGGGGAGCAAACAGGAUUAGAUACCCUGGUAGUCCACGCCGUAAACGUUGAGUGCUAGGUGUCGCGGGUAUUGACCCCUGCGGUGCCGUCGUUAACGCAUUUAGCACUCCGCCUGGGGAGUACGGUCGCAAGGCUA